UUGCCCUUGAACUGCUUCCUUAACUAAAAAUGAAAGUGGGGUGAUUUGAACGAUGCAAAAUGGUAUGUGUAAGGAAUGUAGACAGCGGAUUAUACUAUUGAGGUGAUUUCAAAGGCGCAGAGAAUUAUAUAAACAUGUGUGCAGUCCUAAUAGUAAGUGACCAGCAGGUUUUAUUUUUUUACACCUAAAGAAACAGCUCAUGGCCAAAAAAAUAAGGUGUAAAUAAAAAGCCGCUAAUCGCUGUUCCCACAAAGACAAAAAUAAUGAGCGUUGGUGGGCAGGUUCUGUCUGAGUGAGGAGCCGAGUGUCCUCCACCUCCCAUAGCUCACUCUUUCCCUUUCUCUUUUUCUUGUUUAUCUCCUCAUUCUCUCUGGAGACUCGGUAUGGGUGAUGUUGCCGUGGCUGGAUUUCCUUUCCCAUGGUUAUCUGCCACAUCACACCAUGCAUAACACCAGCCACAGCCCCGAGGAAAACACUCAUGAGACCCCCGAUCCAUAUUCUUUUUGGCCUCGGAACAACAGAUAGUCUUUCAGCCGUAGGUCACGGGAAAGAAGGUUGGGAGACAAAGGAUAACAAACUCCUUCAACUUGGGUAUUGUAUUAUCAAGUUAUACAACAACGUGUUAAGGCUGAACGCCGAAAACGAGAAUAACGUCUUUGUGUUGUAAAAGGAAUGCAACACCAUGCCCGGGACACUCACCUCGGCGCCGGACGCUAGCGACGUAACACAAACAAAAACAAGUGUCAUAGAAAACUAAUGAAAAAAAAUGAAUAAGGAGUCGCAGGAUAGAUUAGAUAAAAUUUACGAUGGAAUGAGUAUUAAAACGAUGGAGCCAACAAUGUAACUCUAGAUAAGAAAAUGUCAUGAUAAUACAGAGAAUACUAUUAGGAAGUCGCAGAACACAUGCAAAUCACAGAAUAGAUAAGACUGAAGUUUGCCGUGGAAUGAACACUAAACCAGAAGACAGUAACUGAAGGUGGAACUAACAACGCACCUCUGGGUCAAAAAACGUCGUGAUAGACAAGGACGUAAUAGUAACAAGCUGAAAACGGGUAAAACUAGCCUUGAAAAUUGAAUACAAACUAAUGACUGUGAUUGAAGUACCAGAAGGACAGUAGCCGAAGGUGGAAUUUACAACGUGACUCAAGAUAAUAAACAAAGUAGCAAUAGUGACAAGCUGAAAAACAGGUAAAACUAGUCUUGAAAUUUAAAUACAAACUAAUGACUGUGAUUGAAGUACCAGAAGGACAGUAGCCGAAGGUGGAAUUUACAACGUGACUCAAGAUAAUAAACAAAGUAGCAAUAGGAACAAGCCGAUAGAAAGGUAAAACUAGCCUUGAAAUUUAAAUACAAACUAAUGACUUUGAUUGAAGUAAAAGGAAGACAAUAGUCGAAGGUGGAUUUUACAACGUGACUCGAGAUAAUAAAACGUCAUAAUAAACAAAGUAGCAAUAGGAACAAGCCGAAAGAAAGGUAAAACUAGCCUUGAAAUCAGAAUACAAAGAAAAGACAGUGAAUGAAG
Long non-coding RNA from Eriocheir sinensis (Chinese mitten crab), 1522 nucleotides. RefSeq lists it as uncharacterized. NCBI's taxonomy places the organism in Eukaryota, Metazoa, Arthropoda, Malacostraca, Decapoda, Varunidae. The transcript is spliced from 2 exons. The record is from RefSeq and is a predicted model, not a curated record.